UAACCUAGUUAGUUUGUAUUAUAAAGUUAGUUUUCUAUAUAUAUAUCCAUAUAAAUAUAUAUCAUAACUUAGUUAGUUAAUUGAACCACUUUUAAAAUAACUUAGUUAGUUAGACCACGGGGACUAUUUGUGCAAAUUCUCUAACUAAACCCCCCUAAUUAAACCCUAAGUAUAAAACUUUAGCAAAAACCCUAUUACCUUUUUUUUCAUAUGCCGUUUACUGUCUUCCCCCUCAAAUACCCUACUCCAUCUUCUCUAACUUCACCUUCUUAACAAGAAGAAAACCCUACAUCAGAACCAUGGCAGCCAAACUCUCCUUCACUCUCGUUCACACUCCACACGUGACCUUCCACUCUCAUCCCUUCACUCCCACUCAGCUCUUCUCUCCCUCUAUUAAACAAACGGCCGGUCACCAAUGAUGGUGGCGGCGCACGGCAGUGGCGGCAGAGCCACGACAGAGAGAGAACGAUAGAGAGAGAGAGAUAGACGACGGAGAGAGAGAGAGAGAUGCGCAACCGUUUUUUUUUUCGGGAAACUCGACGGCGGCGGGCACACGACACCGGAGACUAUCGGAGUUCGCGGGAAACAUCUCGAGUUCACGACCUUUGUUGUUCGGAUAACCGUUCGUUCAUUCGGUUUCUCAAUCUUUACUCGUGCGUUACUUCGAGAAAUUUCCAAACGCAACCAAUGUUGAUGAUGACGAUGCUAUGAAAAGAAGUAGCGUUGAUGCCUAGAUACACAUAUAGACGUUUAGGUUUAAUAUGUUGUAUCAAUUUUGCUUAUGUUGUUAUGUAUUACUUUUGGAACUUGUUGUCAUUUGAGUUUAUGUAAUGUUGACUAUUUGAAGUUAUGAAAUGAAAUUGGGAUUAU
Long non-coding RNA from Helianthus annuus (common sunflower), 870 nucleotides. RefSeq lists it as uncharacterized. The transcript is spliced from 3 exons. The record is from RefSeq and is a predicted model, not a curated record. Lineage: Eukaryota; Viridiplantae; Streptophyta; Magnoliopsida; Asterales; Asteraceae.